Molecule: transfer RNA, 74 nt
Filed under: Candidatus Desantisbacteria bacterium CG1_02_49_89
Lineage: Bacteria; Candidatus Desantisiibacteriota
Also listed under: 3 other names
Description: tRNA-Thr
Source: RNAcentral
GCCGACGUAGCUCAACCGGCCAGAGCUCCUCAUUCGUAAUGAGGGGGUUACCCGUUCGAGUCGGGUCGUCGGCU